RNAcentral lists this unclassified non-coding RNA (289 nucleotides) under Inocybe sp. RNAcentral describes it as "partial contains 5.8S ribosomal RNA, internal transcribed spacer 2, and large subunit ribosomal RNA". The stretch from base 1 to 52 matches the Rfam family "5.8S ribosomal RNA", at positions 103 to 154 of the family's 154-position model. The record is from RNAcentral. Lineage: Eukaryota; Fungi; Basidiomycota; Agaricomycetes; Agaricales; Inocybaceae.
AACGCAUCUUGCGCUCUUUGGUAUUCCGAAGAGCAUGCCUGUUUGAGCGUCAUGAAUCUCUCAAAUACAAGUAAACUUGAUUGUUAACUUUUGUAUUUGGACUUGGAAGCUUGUUGGCGCAAGUCAACUCUUCCUAAAUUCAUUAGCUGGGGUUUAUAUAGUUGGAUCCUUGGUGUGAUAAUUAUCUACGCCUUGAAGUCCCUGUAGACCUUGCUUCAAACCGUCUUGUAAAUGAGACAAUUUUGAAUCAUCUGGCCUCAAAUCAGGUAGGACUACCCGCUGAACUUAA